RNAcentral lists this ribosomal RNA (253 nucleotides) under uncultured bacterium. RNAcentral's name for it is "partial 16S ribosomal RNA". It matches the Rfam family "Bacterial small subunit ribosomal RNA", at positions 524 to 776 of the family's 1533-position model. The record is from RNAcentral.
UACAGAGGUCUCAACCGUUGUUCGGAUUCAUUGGGCGUAAAGGGUGCGUAGGCGGUCGUGCAAGUCGGAUGUGAAAUCUCAGGGCUCAACCCUGAAACUGCAUUCGAUACUGCGCGGCUAGAGUGCUGGAGGGGAGACUGGAAUUUACGGUGUAGCAGUGAAAUGCGUGGAUAUCGUAAGGAAGACCAGUGGCGAAGGCGGGUCUCUGGACAGUUCCUGACGCUGAGGCACGAAGGUCAGGGGAGCAAACGGG